CUGGGUUUGGUGGCGCGGUCUUUGCUGGGAACACGAGGGUUGUUUCUGGGAUCUCCAGAUAUACCAGAGAAGAGCUGCAAUUUAAUCGAGAGAUAGUAAGUUCCUUGCAUGUUGUUGGUGAUUUUGUAGCCACUACUCGUCCUUUCUCGUGAUGUUCUGACCUGAGAUGAUCUGCAAAUUUACCUCGGCGUAUCUCCAAACGAAGCCGGUCCAGGUCGAGGCGUGAAGGUGAUCCUCGGGAUUGUGCUGCCUUUCGGAACUCAGACACAACUCGAUCUGCUUCGAGGCGACUUCUUCUCAAAAACUGACGCCUAUCACAGUGAUUUCAUCUCUGAAUACCCC
Molecule: long non-coding RNA, 342 nt
Filed under: Eucalyptus grandis
Lineage: Eukaryota; Viridiplantae; Streptophyta; Magnoliopsida; Myrtales; Myrtaceae
Description: long non-coding RNA (EGRA_LNC000874)
Source: RNAcentral